AUUGAACGCUGGCGGCGUGCUUAACACAUGCAAGUCGAACGGUAAGGCCCUUCGGGGUACACGAGUGGCGAACGGGUGAGUAACACGUGGGUGAUCUGCCCUGCACUUCGGGAUAAGCCUGGGAAACUGGGUCUAAUACCGGAUAGGACUCCUGGCUUCAUGGUUGGGGGUGGAAAGCUUUUGCGGUGUGGGAUGGGCCCGCGGCCUAUCAGCUUGUUGGUGGGGUAAUGGCCUACCAAGGCGACGACGGGUAGCCGGCCUGAGAGGGUGACCGGUCACACUGGGACUGAGAUACGGCCCAGACUCCUACGGGAGGCAGCAGUGGGGAAUAUUGCACAAUGGGCGCAAGCCUGAUGCAGCGACGCCGCGUGAGGGAUGACGGCCUUCGGGUUGUAAACCUCUUUCAGCUAUGACGAAGCGCAAGUGACGGUAGUAGCAGAAGAAGGACCGGCCAACUACGCGCCAGCCGCCGCAGUAA
RNAcentral lists this ribosomal RNA (478 nucleotides) under uncultured bacterium. RNAcentral describes it as "partial 16S ribosomal RNA". It matches the Rfam family "Bacterial small subunit ribosomal RNA", at positions 28 to 523 of the family's 1533-position model. The record is from RNAcentral.